AAGAAGACUUCCCUGAACUCUCCAUUCUGGAAUUUGCUAAAGCUCAAGAGAGCAGGCCCAACUGGCACUGACUAUGAACAUUAUUCUCAUCUCAUGGAAGCAGAUAUGAAAGCAAGUUUAUUAGCAAAGGAAGAAGACUUCUCAACCUCUCCUCUCCUGAAUUUGCUGAAGCCCAAGGAGUUGCCCCAAGUUGCACUAUGACAAUUCUUCUCAUAUCCCAUGAAAGCAGAUGUUCUUCCUGAUGAAAUUUAUUUUAGGAAUUUAGGGUAUAUUGGCAGAAAAUUAUUGCACCCUCAUGGUGAUUUUUUUAACAGUAAGUUUAAUUUUCAUUUCUUUCAUUGUACUGAGUUCAUUUUAAACACCAACUAUAAGUUAC
Molecule: long non-coding RNA, 376 nt
Organism: Choloepus didactylus (southern two-toed sloth)
Lineage: Eukaryota; Metazoa; Chordata; Mammalia; Pilosa; Megalonychidae
Exons: 3
Source: RefSeq, a predicted model, not a curated record